This 401-nucleotide ribosomal RNA is filed under the name uncultured bacterium. RNAcentral describes it as "bacterial SSU rRNA". It matches the Rfam family "Bacterial small subunit ribosomal RNA", at positions 360 to 775 of the family's 1533-position model. The record is from RNAcentral.
AAUAUUGGGCAAUGGAGGCAACUCUGACCCAGCAACGCCGCGUGAGUGAUGAAGGUCUUCGGAUUGUAAAACUCUUUAAGUGGGGACGAAGAAAGUGACUGUACCCACAGAAUAAGCCACGGCUAACUACGUGCCAGCAGCCGCGGUAAUACGUAGGUGGCAAGCGUUGUCCGGAUUUACUGGGUGUAAAGGGCGUGUAGCCGGGCUGACAAGUCAGAUGUGAAAUCCGGGGGCUCAACCCCCGAACUGCAUUUGAAACUGUUGGUCUUGAGUAUCGGAGAGGCAGGCGGAAUUCCUAGUGUAGCGGUGAAAUGCGUAGAUAUUAGGAGGAACACCAGUGGCGAAGGCGGCCUGCUGGACGACAACUGACGGUGAGGCGCGAAAGCGUGGGGAGCAAACAG